UCUGGUAUGAAAGGUUUGACGAGAUAUUAACUGUUUCAUAAAAAUUUAUAAUAGAAUUUUAUUUUUUAGUCAAAAAGCUAAAAUAUAUUUAAAAGACGAGAAGACCCUAUAAAUCUUUAUAUUUAGGUUAUUAUAAUUUUAUAGAUUUUUUUUGUUAUAAUAAUUGAUAAUAUUUUAUUGGGGUGAUAUUAAAAUUUGAUAAACUUUUAAUUGUUUAAAUCAUUAAUUUAUGAAUAAUUGAUCCGUUAUUAGCGAUUAAAAAAAUAAGUUACCUUAGGGAUAACAGCGA
RNAcentral lists this ribosomal RNA (289 nucleotides) under Chrysomya megacephala (oriental latrine fly). RNAcentral's name for it is "partial 16S ribosomal RNA". The record is from RNAcentral. Lineage: Eukaryota; Metazoa; Arthropoda; Insecta; Diptera; Calliphoridae.